GUCACGUGUCAUUGUCAGUAGAAAUCCUGACUGAGUGUCUGUCCUGUGGCCUGUGAUAUGCCUGGAAGAGCAGCACAUCUGUGGUCCUUUAUCCUGUUAAAUCAUCCCACUUUUCUAGCAAAUUCAGCCCUUUAUUUACUAGGGACUGAUCCAGGGCCCACUAAGGACAAGAAGAGUCUUUCUGUUGACUUCAGUGGACAUUGGAUGAGGUGUUUAGCAUGCUUUCUCUGCCAUGGAGGCAUAGACACAGUGGAUCACCUGAGGGCCUGAUCCUGAGGGAUGCUGAGUCCCUGCAGCUCCCAUUGACUGCAGCACCUCUCAGGAUCAGGUUCCUAAUGAACAGGCAUAAUAAAUAAAUAAUAAAUGUGCUUUUAAAUGUGUUGGACCUAAUAUUAUGGAGAGCCCCCCUUGAAACUGAUUACUCUUCCGGAUGAUCUGGGUCCUGCCAUUUUGUGGAUUGACCUGCUCAGAGGAUCACUUUCAACAGAGAUGUCCCACUGUACUGAGAGAUACUUGAUACCAAGAAUGGCUGGAGAUUGUUGGGAUGAUACAGAGAAGAAUGAAAGGACAUAUUUAAAAGGAAAGCAAAGACCCCUGGCCACCGAGGAGGGCUCCUUAAAGACUGGGAAUGGACAAAGAAGGGUUCCCUCUGUACACAGGAGAGGAGAUCCAAAUGCAGAAAUAGGGAACAGAAUGUCUGGUAUCGAUGUCGGGAUCAUCUUGAAGUUCUGGAGAAAAAACAACAACCGAAAAGAAUUUCUAGCUAUGGUUGUGAAAGACGAUUAUCACAGCAUAUGA
Molecule: long non-coding RNA, 798 nt
Filed under: Chrysemys picta bellii (western painted turtle)
Lineage: Eukaryota; Metazoa; Chordata; Testudines; Emydidae
Description: lncRNA (ENSCPBG00000000701.1)
Source: RNAcentral